Molecule: ribosomal RNA, 468 nt
Filed under: uncultured bacterium
Lineage: Bacteria
Description: partial 16S ribosomal RNA
Rfam family: Bacterial small subunit ribosomal RNA
Source: RNAcentral
GACGAACGCUGGCGGCGUGCUUAACACAUGCAAGUCGAACGGAAAGGCCCUGCUUUUGUGGGGUGCUCGAGUGGCGAACGGGUGAGUAACACGUGAGUAACCUGCCCUUGACUUUGGGAUAACUUCAGGAAACUGGGGCUAAUACCGGAUAGGAGCUCCUGCUGCAUGGUGGGGGUUGGAAAGUUUCGGCGGUUGGGGAUGGACUCGCGGCUUAUCAGCUUGUUGGUGGGGUAGUGGCUUACCAAGGGGUUGGCGGGUAGCCCGCCUGAGAGGGUGACCGGCCACAUUGGGACUGAGAUACGGCCCAGACUCCUACGGGAGGCAGCAGUGGGGAAUAUUGCACAAUGGGCGGAAGCCUGAUGCAGCAACGCCGCGUGCGGGAUGACGGCCUUCGGGUUGUAAACCGCUUUCGCCUGUGACGAAGCGUGAGUGACGGUAAUGGGUAAAGAAGCACCGGCUAACUACGUG